AAGCACUCAGGGCACAUAGCACUAGCUCCAAGAAUUGAAUUUCCCUCAAGCCUAGCUAGUGAAGCAGAUUGCUGUAACCCUAAGAUUGGUUUUAUGCAGUAACUGCUGAAUUGACCUGCUGGGACUCUAAGACUACUUUUACUUACAGCCGUCACUCAUCAAUCAGAGCUUGUAAGCUACCAAAAGCUUUUCUAGUGUCAAUGAGCUUUCUUUCAAAACAGCACAGUGCCAAGUCAUCCAUAAACAUUGACAGUACAGAGUUUCAUCCAACACAACAGCCUUACAAGAAAAGCCAAGAGGUCUCGAACCUAAAGAACCAGGUCGAUGUUCCACUUCAGGACUGGAGCAGGGAGAGCUGCUUUUGGACGGGCCUGCCCUCCAUCUCCUGUCUCUGGACUUGGGAGGCCUGUCCCCUUCACCCUGUUUCAGACCCUGCAGGGAAGCUUCACUCCUCUGCUCAGCUGCUGCACCACAUUUCGGAUCAGAACAUCUAGAUCCAUCAAAACAAGAGGUGGAUGAGAUAUCUGCACAUUCAGGGAGGGGAGGAUAAAAUCCAGGGGGCCUCAUGAGAUUGCUCUCCACGUGCGAGUGAGCAGACAGGCGGUGUAUUUCCUGAUUGCCCCAGGCUAGGUGAGGAGUGGCUCAGGCAGCCCAGGCUGGGCAGGGACACUAGAGACUGAUGCAUUAAAGAAAAAUUUAUCAAAAAAUCAGGGAAGAAGCUAGUUUCUCUUUACCCCCUCUAUUUAAGGACCCCUUGAGUGAUAGUUCCCGGAUCCUCCUGCGCUGGUGUUUGUCUUUCGCUGAAGGUGAUGGAUGUGUAAGCUGCACUAAUGAGCAGGGCUUGGGCCAUCAGACAGUCACAGGGCCGUCCAGCUCCAUGCACCUCCCAGGCCGUGAGACAGUCACAGAGUUGUCCAUCUCCACGCAUCUUCCAGGUUCUGAGACAGUCACGGGGCCGUCCAUCUCCACGCACCUCCCAGGUUGUGAGACAGUCACGGGGCCAUCCAUCUCCACGCACCUCCCAGGUUGUGAGACAGUCACGGGGCUGUCCAUCUCCAUGCACCUCCCAGCUGUCAGCAUGGUCCACCGGGGAAAUAUGUGAUUAAUGCAGAGGAUUAUGUGUGUGUUGGGGUGGAGGGAGAUGUAGCCCAA
This 1152-nucleotide long non-coding RNA is filed under the name Homo sapiens (human). RNAcentral describes it as "HSALNT0291087". The record is from RNAcentral. Lineage: Eukaryota; Metazoa; Chordata; Mammalia; Primates; Hominidae.